This 745-nucleotide ribosomal RNA is filed under the name uncultured bacterium. RNAcentral describes it as "bacterial SSU rRNA". It matches the Rfam family "Bacterial small subunit ribosomal RNA", at positions 33 to 773 of the family's 1533-position model. The record is from RNAcentral.
ACGCUGGCGGCAGGCCUAACACAUGCAAGUCGAGCGGUAGGGAGAAGCUUGCUUCUCUUGAGAGCGGUGGACGGGUGAGUAAUGCCUAGGAAUCUGCCUGGUAGUGGGGGAUAACGUUCGGAAACGGACGCUAAUACCGCAUACGUCCUACGGGAGAAAGCAGGGGACCUUCGGGCCUUGCGCUAUCAGAUGAGCCUAGGUCGGAUUAGCUAGUUGGUGAGGUAAUGGCUCACCAAGGCGACGAUCCGUAACUGGUCUGAGAGGAUGAUCAGUCACACUGGAACUGAGACACGGUCCAGACUCCUACGGGAGGCAGCAGUGGGGAAUAUUGGACAAUGGGCGAAAGCCUGAUCCAGCCAUGCCGCGUGUGUGAAGAAGGUCUUCGGAUUGUAAAGCACUUUAAGUUGGGAGGAAGGGCCAUUACCUAAUACGUGAUGGUUUUGACGUUACCGACAGAAUAAGCACCGGCUAACUCUGUGCCAGCAGCCGCGGUAAUACAGAGGGUGCAAGCGUUAAUCGGAAUUACUGGGCGUAAAGCGCGCGUAGGUGGUUUGUUAAGUUGGAUGUGAAAUCCCCGGGCUCAACCUGGGAACUGCAUUCAAAACUGACUGACUAGAGUAUGGUAGAGGGUGGUGGAAUUUCCUGUGUAGCGGUGAAAUGCGUAGAUAUAGGAAGGAACACCAGUGGCGAAGGCGACCACCUGGACUGAUACUGACACUGAGGUGCGAAAGCGUGGGGAGCAAAC